This is a long non-coding RNA of Rosa rugosa (rugosa rose), 3641 nucleotides long. RefSeq lists it as uncharacterized. The record is from RefSeq and is a predicted model, not a curated record. Lineage: Eukaryota; Viridiplantae; Streptophyta; Magnoliopsida; Rosales; Rosaceae. The transcript has 16 exons.
CCAAUUUGCGUCGGCGUGCAAUUGCCGUCGCCAAAGCCUACUCUUUUGCGACGGCAAAACUUGACCGUCGCAAUUGUGUAAAAGUUAUGCAACGGUAUUAAUUUCCGUCGCCACUUGUGGUCGCCAACCCCUACGAUUUACUUCGGCAAGAAUUUGCCGUCGCAAGGUAAAACAAUUGGCGACUGCAAAAAACUUGCCGUCGCGUUAUCCUAAUUAACUCUGCUUCACCCUCUUUCGUCUUUCAGUUCUUUGAGCCCAUAACUCCAUCUCGAUCUGAUACCCCGAUGAUUACCCAGAUAUCCUCCUCGUCUCCUCCUCUUUCCAUCACCUCCUUGAGCUAUUUUCCUCUCUCGAUCUACCAAAUUCUGCAGAAUACAACCGACGACUAAAUGAACCGAUUUAGGUCAACUCCAUCGAGUUUAUCAGGAGAUCUACCAACCAGUCGUUCCUCUCAAUGUCAAAAGCCUAAUCUAAUACAUUUCACCUCACCCACCUGCAGCCCCAAUCGGCUGCAACGUUCCCGAGUUCACCUAUCUCUUCAAGAGGAAGGUUGAAAAAGGGAUUGAAAUCGAUAAGCUUCCAAAGUUUGAAGCUUUCAUUUUGGUUAGAUUUUAGAGCGAGCUCACGACUCGAUCUUCAAUCAUCCUUUCAUUUGUUGGACCUCCAUGGAUAGCUUCACUCUGUUCUUAUUCUUUUGACCCAGCCAAAUUGCAGCGUUAUUGAUAGAGCAUUCACAAUCUGCAUAAAUAGUUGGAAGAUUUAGCUAUUUCUCAUUUCUUUUGUGUGCUGGAUUUGAAUAGGUUGCACUAUCUUGGGCUUAACAGAGAGUGGCGGUAGUGUGGUUUUUUUGCUGUUGGUUUUCUUGGGUGAACAAACUAUUCUGCAUUUCAAUAUUAGAGAAAAGUUAGAAGCAGAAGAGAGAAUAUAUAAAAGCCAACAGGAUCAUGUACAUAUACCCUUGACCAUGUGCAGGUGGCAGCACUAUCUUGGAUUUUAUGCAAAAGAGUCUACAUAUCAUUUGGCUGCCACUGUUCCUUGGUCUACUGUUUAACGUUGUCUGCAUCUUUCAUUCUUAUUCAGCUUCUGGGCACAGUUUCUACUGCCUAUGCUUUCUGUUUUCAAAAAAGGCUCAGGGAGAUUUUCCUUAAGCAGGAUAAUCUUAUCUAAGGUCGUUUCCUUGCUGAGCUGACAAAGCAAGUGUUUUCUGAUCUUUCUGCCAGUAAAUAUCAGAUGGCUGAGCACAGAAUAUCAAAAUAUGGCAGGAAGCAAAGUGAGUGGGACCAAAUGGCUAGUUGGAUAGUGAACAAUGAAUUGUACAGUGAGAAUGUUGUAUGGUUGAUACAGCUGCCACGGCUGUACAAUAUAUACCAGGAAAUGGGGAUAGUCACAUCAUUUCAGAACAUUCUUGACAAUAUCUUUAUACCGCUGUUUGAGGUUAACAUAAAUCCAGAUUCCCACCCGCUGUUGCAGGUUUUUCUGAAACAGGUUAGCCAUCUCUUCGUUAAAUUUUUUUUUAUUGAACUUGUAGCUUAGUUAGGCUAAUAUACACGCUCAGUAUUGAACUUGAUUACUGGAAGCUACAAUUUUGUUUUAUUGUUUGCUUCUGACACUACUAGAAAUUUGUUCAUAGACAUCGCAUGUUUUAAAUCGGUCAGACUUGCACACGAUGUAAAAAAGUAAUCUAACAUCGUUUUACGAAAAUACCGAUUUAAAUGUAUAUCAUUAACAUCGGGUCUUAAAAUGACCGGUGUUAAAAGUUUUGUUUGAAAAUUUGCGGGAACCUACUUUUGCAAAACGCGCUAAGUCUUUUAAGUGAAAUGAAGAAGCGGGUACUAAAACUCAAAACUUUCACACUUAAAAAAAAUUUUGCACCCGACCCCAAAACUGAAACAGAUCGAAACCCUUGAGCUCGGUCUCGAGCUCCUCCCAAACUUGAGCUCCUCCUCCUCCUCCUCACCAUCACAAUCCUUCCUCCUCCAUUUUUGGCGGAAUCUAAAGAGCUGAGAGAGUCGAAGAAACCUAGAUCCCAACAAUGUCGAAGAAACCCGAGCUCCUUCUCGACCUUUCUUCGCCUCUGACUGAGAUCAAUUAGCUUAAUUCUCAUCUCAUCUCAGCUUCUCUCUCCAGAUCAGUGUAUGAAUUUCUAAACCCAGCCCCCUUUUUCUUUUUCGCUCUUCGAUGUUUUCUGCUAGUUGCUUUUAUUCUAUGGAUUUGUGCGCUAGAGCCCGGCCUCACAUAUAAAGAGAAUGAGUUAUGGGUGAGUCUCAAUUUCCUGCUCUUCUUCCACCAUGACCGAUAAAGUUGAAUCGUCUGACCCGUAAUCCCUCAGAUCCAAUUCCUCUUCUUUUCGAUUUUGACCUAACUUUUUUGGUUUUCUGCAAUCUUUAGGGGCGACACAAUCGUCAUCAAGGUGUGAUUUUGAUGUGGGUUUUGUUGGUUUAUUCAGAAUAUUGUUGAAGAAAAUUGAUGGAAUUUUGCUUAAUUAGGUUUCGGGUAGUGAGUGAAGGAUGGAUUUGUAGUUGGGUUGAUGGGUUUUGUGUGUUUUGUUUGAGAUCUGGUGACUGGGUGUGUUUUGGUGUCCGAAAGUUGAGGUUUUGAUGUAAAGUUUUAUGCUUUUCUGCUGGCUCUGAACCCUUAUACUCUUUUUUAGUUCUCUUAAUCACCUUGUUUAAGUUGCACUCGUGUGGUUCCUAAUUCUGACAUUACAAUGUUGUUUUGAAUUGGUUCGACCCCGAAACCGAUUGUGGUUUCUCCAACGACCGAGCUUCUUCGAGGACGACCGAACUCAGAAUCGAGGAUGGGGCACAACUGAAGCGCUAUUUGAUCCCCAAAUCUAGAGUGAAAUCUGAGAGAAGCAAAACGAAAAGCGAAAUCAAAACCAGAGCAAGGUGAUGAUUCAAAACAGAGUUUUUACUUUGGUCCUUUUGAAGACGUAACUCAAAAUAAGUUGAAUCAAUGGCCUCCAGAAGUUCCGCCAGGAAAAGAAUAUUAGUAUCUCUGAUUGCCCUGGCUUUGAACCUGGAUGAGAAUUUUUUUGAGAAAGUUGGGGAUCUGAAUGGCCACUUUUGCAAUUCUUCACCUUUUGCACCAUCCAGAAUUGGUGAAUUCCGGUGCUGGAUAGUUGGGGAUUUAAUGAGCAUUUCUAUUGGUGAUGCGGAAUUGAUGGCAAGCCCAGUCAUGUUCUAUGCAGAUUUUCCAGAAAGCAAUAUCAACUUCAAAUGCUUACAAUGAUCAAUUCAGGACCAUAAGCCACAAGAGAGUUAAGCUUGCCAACCUUGGUCGCCGUGGAUUAAAGAAAAAAAUCAAGGAAGACAAUUAAGGACCCCCUUAAGUCUUUCAGUGCUCAGCUUAUUUCCUGGAGGCCUACACCCUAGUGAGGAAGGGUGAUCUCUUGAUUGUGAGAGGAGGAAUGAGGAGUGUCGAGUUCAAGGUUAUUGAGACUGAUCCUUCUUGAGUAUUGUGUUGUUGCUCCAAACACUGAAAUAUUUCCAAUAGGGUUUACUAAGGUGGCUACAGAUAAGAAUUCUAAAGCUGGAUCAAAUGUCUAGGCUAGCCUUUGUAGGUUUUGAGGUUUUAUUUUGUGAAUUAUGUUGAAUCAUGAAUUUGAAAAGAAAUUAAUGGAAGCCUCAAUUUUUGGAUGA